GCAAGAUACCACGGGCGCACGGCGGAUGCCUUGGCACAGGGAGCCGAUGAAGGACGCGGCAAGCUGCGAUAAUCCCCGGCGAGGAGCACACAUCCUUCGACCCGGGGGUCUCCGAAUGGGCGAACCCAUGCACAGCAGUGUGCAUAUCCCCGGCCUGAACACAUAGGGCCGGGGAGGACAACCCGGGGAACUGAAACAUCUAAGUACCCGGAGGAAAAGAAAGAAAACUCGAUUCCGUAAGUAGCGGCGAGCGAACGCGGAGGAGCCUAAACCGGAAUGCGUGCAUUCCGGGGUUACGGACUGCAUUUAAGAUUCUUUGAAGCUAACAGAACGGUUUUGGGAAAGCCGGCCGGAGAGGGUGAAAGCCCCGUACGUGAAAGCUGAUGAGACUGAGCAGGAUCCAGAGUACCACGAGACACGUGGAACCUUGUGGGAAAUCAGGGGGACCACCCCCUAAGGCUAAAUACUACUUAGUGACCGAUAGCGCAUAGUACUGUGAAGGAAAGGUGAAAAGGACCCCGGGAGGGGAGUGAAAGAGAACCUGAAACCCUGUGUCUACAAGCUGUGGAAGCACUUUAUAUGUGCGACCGCGUACUUUUUGUAGAACGGUCCGGCGAGUUACGCUUACUGGCAAGGUUAAGCACUUCAGGUGUGGAGCCGUAGGGAAACCAAGUCUUAAGAGGGCCUUAAGUCAGUAGGAGUAGACCCGAAACCGGGUGAUCUAUCCAUGUCCAGGUUGAAGUUGCCGUAAAAGGCAAUGGAGGACCGAACCCACAUCCGUUGAAAAGGGUGGGGAUGAGGUGUGGAUAGGGGAGAAAUUCCAAUCGAACCCGGAGAUAGCUGGUUCUCCUCGAAAUAGCUUUAGGGCUAGCCUCGAUACAGAUUUGCGGAGGUAGAGCACUGAAUUUCCUAGGGGGCGUCAAAGCCUACCGAAGAAUAUCAAACUCCGAAUGCCGCGUAAUCGAUUAUCGGGAGUCAGACUGCACGAGAUAAGUUGGGCGGUCAAAAGGGAAAGAGCCCAGACCUUCAGUUAAGGUCCCCAAGUGCGCGUUAAGUGGAAAAGGAUGUGGGAUUUCGAAGACAACCAGGAUGUUGGCUCAGAAGCAGCCAUCCAUUCAAAGAGUGCGUAAUAGCUCACUGGUCGAGAGGUCCUGCGCCGAAAAUGUCCGGGGCUGAAACACGACACCGAAGCUUAGGAAUGUAGUAAUACAUUGGUAGAGGAGCAUUCUUAAAGGGACGAAGCAGUACCGUAAGGAGCUGUGGACUUUUAAGAAGAGAGAAUGCCGGAAUGAGUAGCGAGAGGAAGGUGGGAAUCCUUCCGGCCGAAUAUCUAAGGUUUCCAGAGUAAAGCUGAUCUGCUCUGGGUAAGUCGGGGCCUAAGGCGAGGACGAGAGUCGUAGCCGAUGGACAACAGGUGGAGAUUCCUGUACUGCGGUAUGACAGAACUGUGGGGACACGUAAGGAAAGCGGAAGCCGGGAAUGGAAAGCCCGGUGCAAGCGGGGUACCAGUCACUUUGGCAAAUCCGGGUGGCAAUGGGAAGCCGUGAUGCGGAGCGAAAUAAAGUAGCGAAGUCCGUGAGCCAUGCGUCAAGAAAAGCCGCUAUUGUUUAUACCGUACCCGUACCGUAAACCGACACAGGUGGAUGAGGAGAGAAUCCUAAGGCCGGCGGAAGAAGCAUUGUCAAGGAACUCGGCAAAAUGGCCCCGUAACUUAGGGAUAAGGGGUGCCUGGGAAACCAGGCCGCAGAGAAUAGGCUCAAGCAACUGUUUAGCAAAAACACAGGUCUAUGCGAAACCGAAAGGUGAGGUAUAUGGGCUGACGCCUGCCCGGUGCUGGAAGGUUAAGAGGAGAGGUUAGCGGUAACGCGAAGCUUUGAAUUUAAGCCCCAGUAAACGGCGGCCGUAACUAUAACGGUCCUAAGGUAGCGAAAUUCCUUGUCGGGUAAGUUCCGACC
RNAcentral lists this ribosomal RNA (1955 nucleotides) under human gut metagenome. Its description in RNAcentral is "bacterial LSU rRNA". It matches the Rfam family "Bacterial large subunit ribosomal RNA", at positions 1 to 1988 of the family's 2925-position model. The record is from RNAcentral.